Strigops habroptila (Kakapo) is the source of this 2300-nucleotide long non-coding RNA. The record is from Ensembl. NCBI's taxonomy places the organism in Eukaryota, Metazoa, Chordata, Aves, Psittaciformes, Psittacidae.
CUGGUCCUUAAUGGUGGCAGGGAUGUGAGACAGAGCUCUCUGGGCUGAGGGGAGAGACAGCAGCUUGCUGGAGGGUCCUGUGCCCUUCCCUUAGAGAGGAGGGAGCCAGAAUAUCAACAGGCAUAGUUGUUCUAUCUUCCAUAAGCGUUUGAGUGGUACUUCUCUCUGAGUUUGAGGAAGAAAGAGAAGUUAACUGAUGGCUUUCUGUCAUAGCUGUAAGUUCUAGUAAUGAUACAGGCCGAAUGCUUUCCUAGUGGUGUGUUGAAUAGCCCUGAAACUGUUAAUAAUUACUUCUACAUCUCUAAUAUUCAGAUCUGUUACCUCCCCACUUUCUGUGCUUUAAAGCCCUUUUUGAGCUGUACGCAGUUUGGGUUUGUGGAGGUGAGGAGAGGUUAGUUGGUGUUUGUUGAUUUUUUUUUCUCUUUUUUUUUUUAGGCCAAAGAAAACAGGACCAUAAUUACACACUUGAAAUUAGACUGCAUGCAACCGAACCCCCUUUUUUCACUCCCUCCUGCAUGUUUCUUUCACUUGCAAUGUAUACUGGGUUACAACAAUUGUCCUGUGUUUUCAUCGUGGUUGGCAGAUACUGGAUUCCCUGUCUGGCAGACCUUCCAUGAUGAUUAUUUUUUUAUGCGCACUUGUCAUUUUGAGAACAUAUUUUCUAGACAUUUGAGCUCGGAUUUUGCAUAUAUUUAAGCAUGCGCUUAAUUUAUGCACAUGAGUAGUUCCACUGAAAUUAAUACUGCAGAAAACUGAGCAUAUGUGUAAGAUACGGUGGGAUUUUAAAGCUAAUUUAGCUGCAGCUGUACUCCCCAAAGUGACUAUAAUGGCACAGUGAGGUUCCACGGUUUAAAAUCUUUUACGAGUUAAAAGAAGUAAAUACAUCUUGGAAGCUCGCUCUAGGAUCUGAAAAGUCAGCUCACGUUCUGUAAUCAAGAUUUUUGUCCUAAAAACUAAUGAUCUGGUUUCUGAGGGAGGGUUCCAUUCCACCUUUAAUUAGCAGCGAGGCUAUGGCUUCAGCAGAGUGAAGCCCCCCUUGCUGGGGCAUCCGUCAGCUCCGCAGUACUCCCAGGAAGAAAAGCAGGUUGCUAUGUCAGUGAAGACUGGAGAUGCCAUUCUCAGCAUGCAUGUACUAGAAGAAUGGAAUCUCUGUGUUACAUUACAUCUGCCAUUGCACAGUGAUGUAGCGGACGUCCUUCUAAUGUCCUUUCUGAAGCAGGAGCCUGUGGGAGCGGCUGGCGGCAGUGCCCUGAGCCUGCUGUUGGGUGGACAUGACUGCUGCUGCUUGGAAAUGAAGGAAGGGAAUCGGGGAGUACAGUUGCUAUUUCUGUUGCCUGCUGCCUGCUUGUCCUUUCUCACCUCUUCAGAUACAAGAUCAAAAUUUUAAUGACUUCCUAAGUAGAGUUAAAAGCAUGAAAACAUUUAUAGUGCAUGGCAAAAGGGUAUCUUUGAGUCUGUGUUUUUGGAUCAGCAGAAGAAAGAAUUUCUGUGGCCUUGAUUUUUGUAAUGAAUACAAGGUAGUACAAACUCCCCCCUUCCUAACAUACCCAUACACCCUCGAACACACUUUGUUUUCAGCAAGAAAACAUGGCAAGAGCAUCCCUUCCUCAACAGUAACAUAGUUAUUGCAAAGUGCUUUAUAUUGUGAAAAUGUGCCCCAUGGAUAAAUUGUUUAACAUUUAUUUGAUCUGAAAUCGGGUGGGGGUGGAUGGGUUGUUCUUAUUUUGGUCUUUUCCCCCUGUCCUUCCCAUUCAGUAAUAGUAAAAAAGCUUUCUUCAAAAAGACUGUUCUUUGUACAGAGUGGCAGAUAAAACCAUCUUGCAAGACCUGAUGACAGUGGCAUGUCUGAGCACUGUGAUGGUUUAUGUGAGCAUUUCCAUUCUAUUGUACAUACUUUUGAAAUAUUCUAUUUAGUCAUAUUUUAUAGGAGUACUACAAAGCUAUUGGCUAAUUAAUCACUUUUACACUUGUAUAAUUAAGAGCUUAGUUUAAAAGAAUAAAUAUGGCAAACAGUAUUUUUGUGUUCUGCUUGCGUUGGCGUUUUGAAAAGCAUCAUUUAAAAGAGUUAGUUAAACUAUAUUAAUAACUGACUAGUGUGGUACAUACCACUGCUCUCCUAACUGGUAGAACUGAAAAUGCUUAAAUGUGUGAUGUAGGCCAAACUCUGUUUCAGUAGAAAUUAGGGGGGAAAGCAGCCCCCUCGCUGGCAGGAUAUGCCAUGUUCUGUUUUGAGCUGUGCAGUUUCAGAGUGAUGUGAGCUUGCACUGGUUUGCUGUGGGUUUGGCUUGGUGUAUGCAAAA